CUCAGGCUUUCCCCCUGCCUCCAUUACAGGCUUGUCUCUCCAACUGAUCGAAAGGACCACAGUGAGCUCUUCUCUGGGGCAUAAAUUGUCACCCUCUACAGACCCAGCUUGAGUUGGUGUUCUCGAAGAAAAUGACCUUGCAGUUGGACUCUCUUUUUAGAAUAUGAUUCUGUCUUGGGAAACAUCUGCAAACUGAAUACCUACCCAUUAUUUCAUGUGUUAGAAGCAGCAACCUUCAAAGCAAAAGACAGGUUAAGGACAGUUCUUUGAAACCUGCCUGGAUUUGUGUUACUGGGCUCAGGAAACUACCCAGGUGCUGAGCAGUGUCAGGAGCUGCUCCUCUGUGUGUCAGUUGGCUGUCAUGGAGCCAAUGUGAAUGG
Pogoniulus pusillus (Red-fronted tinkerbird) is the source of this 380-nucleotide long non-coding RNA. RefSeq lists it as uncharacterized. Lineage: Eukaryota; Metazoa; Chordata; Aves; Piciformes; Lybiidae. The transcript is spliced from 3 exons. The record is from RefSeq and is a predicted model, not a curated record.